RNAcentral lists this ribosomal RNA (844 nucleotides) under Salmonella enterica. Its description in RNAcentral is "partial 23S ribosomal RNA". It matches the Rfam family "Bacterial large subunit ribosomal RNA", at positions 2098 to 2925 of the family's 2925-position model. The record is from RNAcentral. Lineage: Bacteria; Pseudomonadati; Pseudomonadota; Gammaproteobacteria; Enterobacterales; Enterobacteriaceae.
CCUUUACUAUAGCUUGACACUGAACACUGGUCCUUGAUGUGCAGGAUAGGUGGGAGGCUUUGAAGUGUGGACGCCAGUCUGCAUGGAGCCAUCCUUGAAAUACCACCCUUUAAUGGCUGGUGUUCUAACGUGGGCCCGUGAACCGGGUUGCGGACAGUGUCUGGUGGGUAGUUUGACUGGGGCGGUCUCCUCCUAAAGAGUAACGGAGGAGCACGAAGGUUGGCUAAUCCUGGUCGGACAUCAGGAGGUUAGUGCAAUGGCAUAAGCCAGCUUGACUGCGAGCGUGACGGCGCGAGCAGGUGCGAAAGCAGGUCAUAGUGAUCCGGUGGUUCUGAAUGGAAGGGCCAUCGCUCAACGGAUAAAAGGUACUCCGGGGAUAACAGGCUGAUACCGCCCAAGAGUUCAUAUCGACGGCGGUGUUUGGCACCUCGAUGUCGGCUCAUCACAUCCUGGGGCUGAAGUAGGUCCCAAGGGUAUGGCUGUUCGCCAUUUAAAGUGGUACGCGAGCUGGGUUUAGAACGUCGUGAGACAGUUCGGUCCCUAUCUGCCGUGGGCGCUGGAAGAUUGAGGGGGGCUGCUCCUAGUACGAGAGGACCGGAGUGGACGCAUCACUGGUGUUCGGGUUGUCAUGCCAAUGGCACUGCCCGGUAGCUACAUGCGGAAGAGAUAAGUGCUGAAAGCAUCUAAGCACGAAACUUGCCCCGAGAUGAAUCUUCCCUGAGCCUUUAAGGCUCCUGAAGGAACGUUGAAGACGACGACGUUGAUAGGCCGGGUGUGUAAGCGCAGCGAUGCGUUGAGCUAACCGGUACUAAUGAACCGUGAGGCUUAACCUUACAACGCCGAA